CCUACGGGCGGCACCAGUGAGGAAUAUUGGACAAUGGGUGGAAGCCUGAUCCAGCCAUCCCGCGUGUAGGAAGACGGCCUUAUGGGUUGUAAACUACUUUUAUCUGAGGAUAAACCUACUUACGAGUAAGUAGCUGAAGGUACCAGAAGAAUAAGCACCGGCUAACCCCGUGCCAGCAGCCGCGGUAAUACGGAGGGUGCGAGCGUUAUCCGGAUUUAUUGGGUUUAAAGGGUCCGUAGGCGGGAUAAUCAGUCAGUGGUGAAAUCCCUUAGCUUAACUAAGGAACUGCCAUUGAUACUGUCAUUCUUGAGUAAGGUUGCAGUGCUGGAAUGUGUAGUGUAGCGGUGAAAUGCUUAGAUAUUACGCAGGACACCAAUUGCGAAGGCAGGUCACUAAGCCUUAACUGACGCUGAUGGACGAAAGCGUGGGGAGCGGACAGGAUUAGAUACCCCAGUAGUC
This 459-nucleotide ribosomal RNA is filed under the name uncultured bacterium. RNAcentral's name for it is "bacterial SSU rRNA". It matches the Rfam family "Bacterial small subunit ribosomal RNA", at positions 338 to 795 of the family's 1533-position model. The record is from RNAcentral.